This 167-nucleotide ribosomal RNA is filed under the name uncultured bacterium. Its description in RNAcentral is "partial 16S ribosomal RNA". It matches the Rfam family "Bacterial small subunit ribosomal RNA", at positions 1334 to 1500 of the family's 1533-position model. The record is from RNAcentral.
GCUAGUAAUGGCAGGUCAGCAUACUGCCGUGAAUACGUUCCCGGGCCUUGUACACACCGCCCGUCACACCAUGAGAGUUGGGGAUACCCAAAGCCCGUGAGCCAACUAUAUAGAGGCAGCGGUCUAAGGUAGAAUCAAUGAUUGGGGUGAAGUCGUAACAAGGUACC